This 253-nucleotide ribosomal RNA is filed under the name uncultured Eubacteriales bacterium. RNAcentral describes it as "uncultured Clostridiales bacterium partial 16S ribosomal RNA". It matches the Rfam family "Bacterial small subunit ribosomal RNA", at positions 524 to 776 of the family's 1533-position model. The record is from RNAcentral. Lineage: Bacteria; Bacillati; Bacillota; Clostridia; Eubacteriales.
UACGUAGGGGGCAAGCGUUAUCCGGAUUUACUGGGUGUAAAGGGCGUGCAGCCGGAGAGGCAAGUCAGAUGUGAAAUCCGCGGGCUCAACCCGCGAACUGCAUUUGAAACUGCUUCCCUUGAGUAUCGGAGAGGUAAGCGGAAUUCCUGGUGUAGCGGUGAAAUGCGUAGAUAUCAGGAGGAACACCGGCGGCGAAGGCGGCUUACUGGACUGUAACUGACGUUGAGGCUCGAAGGCGUGGGGAGCAAACAGG